UCGGGAGGAUUCGGUGCUGAAGGGAAGCCGAAGAGUGAACUACCUGGGAAGUAUAGUCGCAAGGUCGAAACUUAAAGGAAUUGGCGGGGAGACAUACAACGAGUGACGCGUGCGGUUCAAUUAGAUUUUACACCGUGAACCUCACCAGGAGCGACAGCAGGAUGAAGGUCAGUCUGAAGGGCUUACCUGACACGCUGAGCGGAGAUGCAUGGCCGACGUUAGCCUGUGUGGUGACAUGACCUGUUAAAUCAGGUAACAGGCGAGACCCGUGUCAUUAAUUACUACAGAAAUGGGUACAUUAAUGAGACUGCUCUGGUAACAGAGAGGAAGGUGCGGGCUACGUUAGGUGAGUACGUCCCUAAUCCCCUGGGCGACACGCGCGCGGCAAUGGUACGUUCAAUGAGAUGCGACUCCGAAAGGAGAAGCUAAUCCCCUAAAGCGUAUCUCAGUUCAGAUCGAGGGUUGCAACCCACCCUCGUGACGUUGGAAUUCGUAGUAAUCGGAUUUUAGCACAGUCCGGUGAAUAAGUCCCUGUCUCUUGCACACACCGCCCGUCAAACCAACCGAGUUGUGUAGGGGUGAAGUUCGUUAGAGAAGAACCUUUUCACGACAAGGUAGGUUAAGUCGUAACAAGGUAGCC
RNAcentral lists this ribosomal RNA (640 nucleotides) under uncultured archaeon. RNAcentral describes it as "bacterial SSU rRNA". It matches the Rfam family "Archaeal small subunit ribosomal RNA", at positions 785 to 1448 of the family's 1478-position model. The record is from RNAcentral.